RNAcentral lists this transfer RNA (72 nucleotides) under Dipodomys ordii (Ord's kangaroo rat). It matches the Rfam family "tRNA". From Rfam's summary of the family: Transfer RNA (tRNA) molecules are approximately 80 nucleotides in length. The record is from Rfam by way of RNAcentral. Lineage: Eukaryota; Metazoa; Chordata; Mammalia; Rodentia; Heteromyidae.
GGGAAGGUGGCUCAGUGGUAGAGCACUUGCCUUGCAUGCAUGAGGCCCGAGGUUCAAUUCCUCAGCAUCACA